This 73-nucleotide transfer RNA is filed under the name Camelus bactrianus (Bactrian camel). It matches the Rfam family "tRNA". From Rfam's summary of the family: Transfer RNA (tRNA) molecules are approximately 80 nucleotides in length. Their secondary structure includes four short double-helical elements and three loops (D, anti-codon, and T loops). RNAcentral also lists the same sequence under 2 other names. Lineage: Eukaryota; Metazoa; Chordata; Mammalia; Artiodactyla; Camelidae. The record is from Rfam by way of RNAcentral.
GAGGGUAUAGCUCAGGUGGUAGAGUGCAUGCUUAGCAUGCAUGAGGUCCUGGGUCCAGCCCCCAGCACUCCCC